GCCGACGUAGCUCAGUGGUAGAGCAGUUGAUUCGUAAUCAACAGGUCGUGGGUUCAACUCCCACCGUCGGCU
RNAcentral lists this transfer RNA (72 nucleotides) under Nitrospinae bacterium RIFCSPHIGHO2_02_39_11. Its description in RNAcentral is "tRNA-Thr". It matches the Rfam family "tRNA". Rfam says of the family: Transfer RNA (tRNA) molecules are approximately 80 nucleotides in length. Their secondary structure includes four short double-helical elements and three loops (D, anti-codon, and T loops). RNAcentral also lists the same sequence under 3 other names. Lineage: Bacteria; Pseudomonadati; Nitrospinota. The record is from RNAcentral.